GACGAACGCUGGCGGCGUGCCUAAUACAUGCAAGUCGAACGAGAGCAACCGGUGCUUGCACUGGUCAAUCUAGUGGCGAACGGGUGAGUAACACGUGGGUAACCUGCCCAUCAGAGGGGGAUAACAUCCGGAAACGGAUGCUAAAACCGCAUAGGUCUUCGAACCGCAUGGUUUGAAGAGGAAAAGAGGCGCAAGCUUCUGCUGAUGGAUGGACCCGCGGUGCAUUAGCUAGUUGGUGAGGUAACGGCUCACCAAGGCCGUGAUGCAUAGCCGACCUGAGAGGGUGAUCGGCCACAUUGGGACUGAGACACGGCCCAAACUCCUACGGGAGGCAGCAGUAGGGAAUCUUCCGCAAAGGACGCAAGUCUGACGGAGCAACGCCGCGUGAGUGAAGAAGGUUUUCGGAUCGUAAAACUCUGUUGUUAGAGAAGAACAAGUGCUAGAGUAACUGUUAGCGCCUUGACGGUAGCUAACCAGAAAGCCACGGCUAACUACGUG
Molecule: ribosomal RNA, 498 nt
Filed under: uncultured bacterium
Lineage: Bacteria
Description: partial 16S ribosomal RNA
Rfam family: Bacterial small subunit ribosomal RNA
Source: RNAcentral